AUUAAAUCUUUAUUUUCCAACACCCUGUAUCUUUAGACAACUGCAUUUGUUUUUCCUUUGGUGAUUACCUAUCAUGAUUUUUUGGUUCUUUUUGCUUCUACUAGCUAGGUGGCUUCUCUUGUAUACCUCAUGUUUACUUGGGGGCGAUUUAUGCUUUUAAUAAAGUUUCGAUUAUUUAUCAAAAAAAAGUUUACGGAAACAUAGAUUGGAGAGCUUCAUGAAAUUUUCUGCCAGUAAGAACCAAUGAAAAGUUGUUGAUGCUUCAGUUUUUUUCUUUUUCACUUUUUUCUUUAUGGUUGAUUGUCACUUUAUUAUGUUGAUAGCUAUAAUUUUUUCAGGGCAAACAUGGUGAGUUUGAUAUUUUCUUCAAGUUUGCUGUAUGAAUUUAACAUAUGAUGACCUUAAUUAUUGAGACAAUGUGGCAGAAGCUGCUAUUGAGGAGGUAGUAAUGGUGGUACCAGAUGUCCUUGUAAGGCAUAGUUGUCUUGCAAUUUCUAUUCUUCAACAACUAAGUCAUAGGCUCAGUGUGUUUUUUUUCUUAAUCAUGCAUGUCUAUGUGUUCCAGUUUUGACAACCUCAAAAAUAUGUACUUUAUGCCUGCAAUUAACAUUAUAGUAUAACUGAUUUUGAGGGAUUAGGUGUGACACUUGAAUCAAGUACAAAUUUAUAAAGACAGCUGGUGAUGACUCUGUCAUCUAAAUAUUGCAUGUUAGGAAAAUUCAAAAUUGGAGGUCGUGGAAUUUAAUGGACCCAGCAGGUGGGCAUUGGAACCAUUGGUAUAGUUAAAUGACAUGCUACUCGAAGAGUUGUUAUUAUAGUCAGGAGCUACUAUUGGCAAAGCAUCUACUACUCUAGGAUUGGGGUAAUAGCCUGGGCUUUCUCUGUGGGUGUCCUCCUUAAAAGCUAUUCAUUUUGUGCUCUAGGAAGUGGUGUCUUAGUAACCCCUCCUCCAUUCCUGCUUCAAGUCAGGUCAAAUUAUAAAUGCUGAUCAUUGGAGAAAUCGUAGUGGGGGUUGCUUCUCGGUUGUUGCGCAGAUAAUUAUUGGGAGUAUAUCCAUAUAAUAUAACACCGAUGGUUGUUUUUUCAUACUUCUGCAGUGGCUAAUAUGAUUUCAGUUAAUUUAGAUCAAGUUUUCAUACUUGGAAUAGGCUUAUAGACCUCUUAUCAUAGGAAAAAGAGAGAUUAUUACUCAAAUACAAGAAUUUAAUAAAUGAAAGUCACAGUUGUGCCUGGAUGAUUUAGCUUUUACUGUAUCAAUGAAAAACACAUUAGCUUUUAGACCCCAUGCUCUUAGCUUUUGCCUAUAAUAGGUCAUUUCUAAUCUUAGCCAGCUGUCUUAUAGCGACAACAAGAUACAGACAAAACUCAUGUUAAAUUUGUUCUGGAAUUUAGGUUGCUUGUAAGAUGUGGUCAAAGACAAACUCAAUAGUGUCAGGAACUCACUAAUUCUGUGACAGUUUUUUGUCUUACACCUUAUAUAAAUCCUUUACGUUGCGAGAUGUUAGGUCCCCAGACUGCAAUAAUUAAAAGUACAAUUUCUUACGUAAGUUGAGUAAUGGAUAGGAUAAGGGGUACCAUGGAUUAGGCAUUAUGUACUAUCUAUCUUGAAAAAGUUAUUGCUAAGGUUCAAACACGCAGCUGGCCCUGUUGUUAAUUAUCUUCUUGUGAAUAUCUUUUGUUUUAAUUAAAGUUUGUUUUAUGCUUUUCUGUUUCUAUGCUUGAUUAUUGUCAAUUCUCCUCCAAUACCAUUGAUUGAUUACCUUGUAUUUUUGUGUACAAUGUAUUUUUCUUCAGGAGUGGUCUAUGAUUUCCAACUUGACCGAGGAGAAAGCUUCUGCUUUGCAACGAAAUCAGAAACUACAUCAGGAACUGGAUCUGCUGAGAAAAGAAAUCAGCAAAAGUCGUGCUGGUGGCCUCUCUCUAUUUAUUGUGGUGCUGGUUGGUCUGCUUGGCGUCCUGUUUGGCUACUUUGUCAAGUAAACGCAGAAACUGCAUAUCAGGCAACCUUUUGUUUUGUUAGCUGGGUGUUGGAAUCAACAUUAUUGAUGCUCCUGAUCUUCCUAAGACUCUUUUUUAGGACUUUUCUUCUUUUAGGGUGUAAAUUAUAGCCUCUUAUUAUUGUAUUUUGACAUGUGAAUGAUUGAUUUAUCCAAGUCCUAAGAACUUUUUCGGUUGAAAGGUGGGUUAGAUGGGCUCGGCUUAUUGUAAACCUAAUACAUAUUGAUGCUUGGUUUUAAUCAAAGGGGGUUUUGUUUUUGGUGUUUUU
Molecule: non-coding RNA, 2266 nt
Organism: Corylus avellana
Lineage: Eukaryota; Viridiplantae; Streptophyta; Magnoliopsida; Fagales; Betulaceae
Source: RefSeq, a predicted model, not a curated record